RNAcentral lists this unclassified non-coding RNA (388 nucleotides) under soil metagenome. Its description in RNAcentral is "partial contains 5.8S ribosomal RNA, internal transcribed spacer 2, and large subunit ribosomal RNA". The stretch from base 1 to 122 matches the Rfam family "5.8S ribosomal RNA", at positions 35 to 154 of the family's 154-position model. The record is from RNAcentral.
GAUGAAGAACGCAGCGAAAUGCGAUAAGUAAUGUGAAUUGCAGAAUUCAGUGAAUCAUCGAAUCUUUGAACGCACCUUGCACCCUUUGGAAUUUUCCAAAGGGUAUGCUCGUUUGAGUGUCAUUGUACUCUCACACUCUCCGAUCCUUUGGAUAUGGGGAGCGGUGGACUUGGGUGCUUGCUGCUUCCUUGUGGCUCACCUGAAAUGCGUCAGAGCAUCUCUUGAUUGGACAUAGUACGGCGUGAUAAGUGUCUUCGCCGGCACCUCAUAAGAGGGUGGCCGAUCGGGAGCUCUGUGCUUUCAAACCGUCUUCGGACAAUCCCUGACAACUUGACCUCAAAUCGAGUAGGACUACCCGCUGAACUUAAGCAUAUCAAUAAGCGGAGGA